This 313-nucleotide long non-coding RNA is filed under the name Zonotrichia albicollis (white-throated sparrow). RNAcentral describes it as "lncRNA (ENSZALG00000000660.1)". The record is from RNAcentral. Lineage: Eukaryota; Metazoa; Chordata; Aves; Passeriformes; Passerellidae.
CCAGUGACCUCCCAGUAACACCAGUAUGGGACUGGGACCAUCCCAGUUUGGAACUGGGACCCUCCCAGUGCUCCCAGUUUGGGGCUGAAUUUCCUCGGAGUUGCCCCAAAUUCCCCCCCCCAAAUCCCAAAUCCCAAAUUUUGGUCCCUUCCCAAAAACCGAAAUUCCCAAAUUUUAAAGCUCCAAAGUUUUUAUUGGAUUCGUUCUCAAGUUUUGUUCAUUGAAGGGAAAAAUUCCCCAAAAAAAAAGAGAAAACAAAAAAAUAAAAAACCCCAAAAGUUGGGAAAAAAUGGAAAAAAAUAAUGGGAAAAAU